Long non-coding RNA from Equus caballus (horse), 1741 nucleotides. RefSeq lists it as uncharacterized. The record is from RefSeq and is a predicted model, not a curated record. Lineage: Eukaryota; Metazoa; Chordata; Mammalia; Perissodactyla; Equidae.
CAGAGCUUAGCAUAAUGCCUGGCAGGUCAUGGGCGCUUGGUAAAAGUUGGUUGAAUGAGUGAGUAAAUGAGGUACCAAGAGACACAAAGGAUGGUUGGAUAUCAGUGGCCAGUCCAAUGGCCCUUGGUUCAGGACUUCUUUUUCGCUUUAGAGCCUGGCUAGUCUGUGUCCCAAAAAAGCCUUCCCUCAUCCCAAACCAGAGGACCCCAAAUAUUUUCACCAAGCAUCCUUUCUUUGUCAUACAUUUGAGGAAAAAGUUAUUUCUCUAGAAGAGAAAUCAAGAAGGGAGAGAACGCCUUGUCUUAACUUCCAGGGACAAAUGGAAACUGAAACACUCACGCCUACGUGGCUCACGUUCCAGGGAGAGACACAGUAACGUGGCAUCUGGAAAAUACCCAGCUCAAGCCAGAUUUCUGUCAGUUCCUUCUCUGUCGGUCUGUGCUUCCCGGCUAGUGAAGUAUACGGUUUCUGCCUUUCCUUCUUCCCAAAGAAAACUUUGAUGAAAAAAAAGGGGUUCUGCCUCCUGGGGAAUCUGAUGGACUCCUUGGGGGCUGUCUUCGUCCAAGGUCAGUGGUCAUUACUGUCACCUCCAAGAGAGAACCAAGAAUCCUGGCUCUUUGGCUGCUGCCACUGUCUUGGCCACUAGGUGUCACCAGUGGUCCUGCAGCCCACCUCCAGACGGGAGGCAGGCAGAUGUCACAGGGAAUACUUCCUGUCUACAUCCUGCUCAAAGAAGAGGCUUUUGGAAUACCUACUCUCUUGCCACAGUGGACCUCAGCAGGCAAUCCCGCUCAGAAAAGAAAAUUGUUGGACGUAAGUGCUAGUCCUACCGUCUGAGUGCUGAAUCUUCUCCGUGGUCAUCUGAGAAAGGAGAGGUUCUCGCAGCAGGAGAGGUGGACAGACCUGGGUCCUGGUUCUGGCACUGCCACCCACUUCUGGUGUGACUCAGGGGAGCCACUCAGCCGUCUGAGCACCCCUACCUGAGAGAAAUUAAGACCUGACACAUGUUUGCAGCUUUUUCAUUUUGUCGCCGAGGUGAAUUUUAGUUUCCUGAGUGCUUACUGCACGGCUUACUUCAGGGGCUCAAAUGGUGCUAGGUGGGUGGGUACUAGUUUGAGGAUUAUGAAGAUAGGUGGGGGAGGACUGGGCUGUCUCUCCAGGCGAGGUUCAACAUACUCACCCCACCCCCAACUUUCUGGAGUCAGACAGACUAGGGUUUAUUGCAGCCUGACUCCAACCAGCUACUUCACUGGGUAUGUCACUUAACUCAUCUGAGCCUCAGUUUCCUCAUAUGCAGAAUGAGGGCAAUAUCUACCUUUCAGAGGGUGUGAUGGUUAAUUUUAUGUGUCAACUUGGCUGGGCCAGGGAGUACCCAGAUAUUUGGUGGAGCAUUAUUCUGGCUGUUUCUGUAAGGGGGUUUUGGAUGAGAUUAACAUUUAAAUCGGUAAGCUUUGAGUGAAGCAGAUUCCCCUCCAAAAUGUGGGUGUGCCUCAUCCAAUCAGUUGAAGGCCUGAGGAGAACAAAAACGCCAGCCUCCUGUGAGCAGGAAAGAAUUCUCCAGCAGACCGCCUUUGGACUUUCACCUGCUACACUGGCUCUUCCUGGUUCUAGAGCAGUUGGCCUUUGGAGCUGAACUGGAACAUCAGCUUUCUUGGGCCUCCAGGCACCACUCUACCCCGGAGAUUUUGGACUUGCCAGCUUCCAUAAUUGUGUGAACCAAUUCCUUAUAAUAAAUCAUAUA